RNAcentral lists this ribosomal RNA (1388 nucleotides) under uncultured bacterium. RNAcentral's name for it is "bacterial SSU rRNA". It matches the Rfam family "Bacterial small subunit ribosomal RNA". The record is from RNAcentral.
AGAGUUUGAUCCUGGCUCAGGAUGAACGCUGGCGGCGUGCUUAACACAUGCAAGUCGAACGAAGCACUUUAUUUGAUUUCCUUCGGGACUGAUUAUUUUGUGACUGAGUGGCGGACGGGUGAGUAACGCGUGGGUAACCUGCCUUGUACAGGGGGAUAACAGUUGGAAACGGCUGCUAAUACCGCAUAAGCGCACGGCAUCGCAUGAUGCAGUGUGAAAAACUCCGGUGGUAUAAGAUGGACCCGCGUUGGAUUAGCUAGUUGGUGAGGUAACGGCCCACCAAGGCGACGAUCCAUAGCCGACCUGAGAGGGUGACCGGCCACAUUGGGACUGAGACACGGCCCAAACUCCUACGGGAGGCAGCAGUGGGGAAUAUUGCACAAUGGGCGAAAGCCUGAUGCAGCGACGCCGCGUGAGCGAAGAAGUAUUUCGGUAUGUAAAGCUCUAUCAGCAGGGAAGAUAAUGACGGUACCUGACUAAGAAGCACCGGCUAAAUACGUGCCAGCAGCCGCGGUAAUACGUAUGGUGCAAGCGUUAUCCGGAUUCACUGGGUGUAAAGGGAGCGCAGGCGGUGCGGCAAGUCUGAUGUGAAAGCCCGGGGCUCAACCCCGGUACUGCAUUGGAAACUGUCGUACUAGAGUGUCGGAGGGGUAAGCGGAAUUCCUAGUGUAGCGGUGAAAUGCGUAGAUAUUAGGAGGAACACCAGUGGCGAAGGCGGCUUACUGGCCGAGACCGACGCUGAGGCGCGAAAGCUGGGGGAGCGAACAGGAUUAGAUACCCUGGUAGUCCACGCUGUAAACGAUGAAUACUAGGUGUGCGGGGACUGACCCCCUGCGUGCCGCAGUUAACACAAUAAGUAUUCCACCUGGGGAGUACGAUCGCAAGGUUGAAACUCAAAGGAAUUGGCGGGGGCCCGCACAAGCGGUGGAUUAUGUGGUUUAAUUCGACGCAACGCGAAGAACCUUACCAGGGCUUGACAUCCUACUAACGAAGUAGAGAUACACCAGGUGCCCUUCGGGGAAAGUAGAGACAGGUGGUGCAUGGUUGUCGUCAGCUCGUGUCGUGAGAUGUUGGGUUAAGUCCCGCAACGAGCGCAACCCCUAUUGUUAGUUGCUACGCAAGAGCACUCUAGCGAGACUGCCGUUGACAAAACGGAGGAAGGUGGGGACGACGUCAAAUCAUCAUGCCCCUUAUGUCCUGGGCUACACACGUAAUACAAUGGCGGUCAACAGAGGGAUGCAAAACCGUAAGGUGGAGCGAACCCCUAAAAGCCGUCUCAGUUCAGAUUGUGGGCUGCAACCCGCCCACAUGAAGUCGGAAUCGCUAGUAAUCGCGGAUCAGCAUGCCGCGGUGAAUACGUUCCCGGGCCGUGUACACACCGCCCGUCA